Molecule: ribosomal RNA, 761 nt
Filed under: uncultured Bacilli bacterium
Lineage: Bacteria; Bacillati; Bacillota; Bacilli
Description: bacterial SSU rRNA
Rfam family: Bacterial small subunit ribosomal RNA
Source: RNAcentral
GACGAACGCUGGCGGCGUGCCUAAUACAUGCAAGUCGAACGCUUCUUUUUCCACCGGGAGCUUGCUCCACCGGAAAAAGAGGAGUGGCGAACGGGUGAGUAACACGUGGGUAACCUGCCCAUCAGAAGGGGAUAACACUUGGAAACAGGUGCUAAUACCGUAUAACAAUCGAAACCGCAUGGUUUUGAUUUGAAAGGCGCUUUCGGGUGUCGCUGAUGGAUGGACCCGCGGUGCAUUAGCUAGUUGGUGAGGUAACGGCUCACCAAGGCCACGAUGCAUAGCCGACCUGAGAGGGUGAUCGGCCACAUUGGGACUGAGACACGGCCCAAACUCCUACGGGAGGCAGCAGUAGGGAAUCUUCGGCAAUGGACGAAAGUCUGACCGAGCAACGCCGCGUGAGUGAAGAAGGUUUUCGGAUCGUAAAACUCUGUUGUUAGAGAAGAACAAGGACGAGAGUAACUGUUCAUCCCUUGACGGUAUCUAACCAGAAAGCCACGGCUAACUACGUGCCAGCAGCCGCGGUAAUACGUAGGUGGCAAGCGUUGUCCGGAUUUAUUGGGCGUAAAGCGAGCGCAGGCGGUUUCUUAAGUCUGAUGUGAAAGCCCCCGGCUCAACCGGGGAGGGUCAUUGGAAACUGGGAGACUUGAGUGCAGAAGAGGAGAGUGGAAUUCCAUGUGUAGCGGUGAAAUGCGUAGAUAUAUGGAGGAACACCAGUGGCGAAGGCGGCUCUCUGGUCUGUAACUGACGCUGAGGCUCGAAAG